Molecule: ribosomal RNA, 505 nt
Filed under: uncultured bacterium
Lineage: Bacteria
Description: partial 16S ribosomal RNA
Rfam family: Bacterial small subunit ribosomal RNA
Source: RNAcentral
GAUGAACGCUAGCUACAGGCUCAACACAUGCAAGUCGAGGGGUAACGAGAGGGAAGCUUGCUUUCCUUGUCGACGACCGGCGCACGGGUGAGUAACGCGUAUCCAACCUGCCCCCAACUAGGGAAUAACCUUGCGAAAGUAAGACUAAUACCCUAUAAUUUCCUCAGAUGUCAUCUGACGAGGAAUAAAGAUUUAUCGGUUGUGGAUGGGGAUGCUUCUGAUUAGCUUGUUGGUGGGGUAACGGCCCACCAAGGCAACGAUCAGUAGGGGUUCUGAGAGGAAGGUCCCCCACAUUGGAACUGAGACACGGUCCAAACUCUACGGGAGGCAGCAGUGAGGAAUAUUGGUCAAUGGGCGGAAGCCUGAACCAGCCAAGUAGCGUGCAGGAUGACGGCCCUAUGGGUUGUAAACUGCUUUCAUACAGGAAUAAAGUUAGCCACGUGUGGUUAUUUGUAGGUACUGUAUGAAUAAGGACCGGCUAAUUCCGUGCCAGCCGCCGCCGUAA